This 804-nucleotide long non-coding RNA is filed under the name Serinus canaria (Common canary). RNAcentral's name for it is "lncRNA (ENSSCAG00000006648.1)". Lineage: Eukaryota; Metazoa; Chordata; Aves; Passeriformes; Fringillidae. The record is from RNAcentral.
CCCGGUGCAGGUUUGGCCUGAGGAAUCUCUCCAGCUGUUUAUCUCCUGCCAUUCCUUUUCUUGUUAGGCCUGGGAAGAAACUGAGUUUUCAGAGAAUUCUAUUGUUGCUGUAGAACACAAUUUGCUCUGCUGCAGAGCAAGCCAGGCAGAGUGAGCUGUGACUCUUUUCCUUCCUUGCUGGCUGCCUGUCUGGCAUCACUUUCCCUCAUAAGCUGGGUUCUUAAGUGGAGACAGUGCAUCCAAGUUGCAGCAAGAGGCCACUGAGGAUCAGAGGAAAACAUCAGCACAUCAAAGGUGCAGGGCAGGGAGCAGCACAUGGGCAGAUCUGUCCUGCAGUAGGAGUGCAGGGGCAAGUGAGAGCUGAGGUUCCUGUGCUGACCACUGGCUGCCUGGAUGAUGCUGUUCCAGCUGCUUCACAACUCUGUGCCUCAGUUUCCCCUUCUUCAUGUCGGAAGCUGGGAUUCAGUCCUGCCCUGCAGACAGCUGACAGGGCUGACAUUCCAUGUCCUGGGACUGUGGUUACCAAGCCCUGGGGCUACACAGACCUGAUCUCCCUCCUGGAUUUCUCCAAGUGCCUGUCCAAGUGAUAGUUUUUUCUCCAGAAAUGAAGAACAGUUAAAAGCAGAGAACAAAACCCACCAUAAGACCAAAAGCAACAAUGGAGUAUUUUCCCUCCUGAAUGUUUGUUACAGCUCUUGCUGGCCAUGCAAAAAAAAAAAAAAANNNNNNNNNNNNNNNNNNNNAAAAAAAAAAAAAAAAAAAAAAAAAAAAAAAAAGCCCAAAUAAAAUCUGGCACACAGGUCA